AUACGUAGGGGGCGAGCGUUGUCCGGAAUGAUUGGGCGUAAAGGGCGCGUAGGCGGCCCGGUAAGUCUGGAGUGAAAGUCCUGUUUUUAAGAUGGGAAUUGCUUUGGAUACUGUCGGGCUUGAGUGCAGGAGAGGUAAGUGGAAUUCCCAGUGUAGCGGUGAAAUGCGUAGAGAUUGGGAGGAACACCAGUGGCGAAGGCGACUUACUGGACUGUAACUGACGCUGAGGCGCGAAAGCGUGGGGAGCGAACAGGAUUAGAUACCCGGGUAGGCCACGCGGUAAACGAUGAAUGCUAGGUGUUGCGGGUAUCGACCCCUGCAGUGCCGGAGUAAACACAAUAAGCAUUCCGCCUGGGGAGUACGGCCGCAAGGUUGAAACUCAAAGGGAUUGACGGGG
Molecule: ribosomal RNA, 397 nt
Filed under: uncultured bacterium
Lineage: Bacteria
Description: partial 16S ribosomal RNA
Rfam family: Bacterial small subunit ribosomal RNA
Source: RNAcentral